UUGGCAGCCCUGGAGACUGAUGUCCUAAUUAUCCACAGAACAGAAGCACCUGGGAAUUUUCCUGCCAGUGUGACUCAGCUGAAAGGUGCAGAGUCCAACUCUCAGAUUAGAUGACAGUUCAGUAUACAGCCUUCACACACUGCAGUCAUU
Molecule: small RNA, 150 nt
Filed under: Gopherus agassizii (Agassiz's desert tortoise)
Lineage: Eukaryota; Metazoa; Chordata; Testudines; Testudinidae
Description: TUC338 (ENSGAGG00000007678.1)
Source: RNAcentral